GCAAAGUCCGGGCCGUGGUCGGCGGGAAUAGUGGGGGUGGAAGUGUGAAGCGGCAUUACGUGGCGUAAAGGGUGCGUGGGCGGUGGGCUAAGUCUGCGGUGAAAUGCCUGGGCUCAAACUGGGAAUGGCGGUGGAUACUGGCUUGCUGGAGUACGGCAGAGGAAGGUGGAAUUCCCGGUGUAGCGGUGAAAUGCGUAGAGAUCGGGAGGAACAUCAGUGGCGAAGGCGACCUUCUGGGCCAGUACUGACGCUGAGGCACGAAAGCGUGGGGAGCAAACAGGAUUAGAUACCCGUGUAGUC
Molecule: ribosomal RNA, 300 nt
Filed under: uncultured Asaia sp.
Lineage: Bacteria; Pseudomonadati; Pseudomonadota; Alphaproteobacteria; Acetobacterales; Acetobacteraceae
Description: bacterial SSU rRNA
Rfam family: Bacterial small subunit ribosomal RNA (bases 52-300)
Source: RNAcentral